Molecule: long non-coding RNA, 6044 nt
Organism: Cavia porcellus (domestic guinea pig)
Lineage: Eukaryota; Metazoa; Chordata; Mammalia; Rodentia; Caviidae
Exons: 3
Source: RefSeq, a predicted model, not a curated record
UUCCCAAGGUGCACUGCCCAGUGGGUUGUGGAGAUUUGGUCUUCAGGCUCAGUAACCUGGGGUCCAGGGAGUGUUCCAGGAGGACCGGGGUGAUCCCUUGCCCACCCUGGCCCGGCAGGCGGUGGAGGCUGGGCGAGGCGCAGGGUGAUGGGGUAGAAAUGAUUUCCUUUUGAGUAACAGCAUUUACUGAAAAGCAAUUCUGCUUUCGACACAGAAGUUCACCACCAUGCAGGCGAGCGCCUAAAAUACCUUCCCGGGCCAACCGCAGCGGCCUCCGUGCUGCCUGCCUCCGCCCCGGACGGUUUCAAUUUGGUGUUGAGGGAAAAUCAAAUACCACAACCUUGGGAGGUGAGGCGGGGCCGGGUGGCACCCACCACAGACCCGGGCCCACGGUGGCUCCCACCACAGACCCCGGGCCCACAGUGGCUCCCGGCUGUUACUGGAAAGACAGUGCACACACUCAGAGCGAAACCAGCCGCCCGGCAACUUCUCUGCCCUUUUACAAGAAAAUGAAAGUGAUUGUGCCUGUGGUGAGCAGCCCAGGGAGCUGCUCCGCGGCCGGCCCUGUCACCCCUCUGCUGGCACUGCUGUCCUUUCAAUGGCUUGAUUUAUUCCAGUGCCAAAACUCUGCCCCGCACACGGGAGAGGGACGCCCACCCGCCCCAGGUGGUGCAGCCCCAGGAAGGUGGCUGGCGGGGAGGGAUGGGCCUCAGGCAGGACGGGCCGUGUGGGGGGCCGAAGACCAGCACCCCCACCCCAGGCUGACCUCACUCACCCCAGACCCCGGAAAAUUCCCACCUCUGUCCUGUGCUGUCUGUGUGAUGAUGGGAGAGUGACUUUGCCUCUCUGUGCCUCAAUUUCUCACCUUUUAAGACGGGGAUAACAACAGAAAGUGGUCAUGACCUUUCUUUGCUAAAACCCUCCCAUGGCUGCCAGGUCACUUGGUGCAAAAACCCAAGUUCCCUCCGAGGCUGGCCAGGCCCUCCAGUCAGUCCUCAGCUCCUAUUGCCACCUCGUCACCUUCCAGCCUGCCUCAUUCCCCCCACCCAGGGCUUCUGUUCCUCCAAUGUGCUAGAUACUACUGGCCCCAGGGCCUUUGCACUAGCUGCUCCCUCUGCCUAACUCAUCCUUCUUCCAGAAGCCUGGGCCUGCUCUGAUUUCCCGUCUCCCUUGCUCCCCAGGGCCCCUUGUCUUUUAUCUGAGUUCUCUGCACAACGCUUACUCCUACAAGACAUUAUACUCUGGGGCUCCCACCCUCCAUUCUACAAACUCCAGAACCAUAGAGUGCAGUUCUUCAUAAAGUCUUCAGACAUCGACACAGUAGGAGCUCAUGCAAGUUUGUUGAAAUCUUGUUAAGUUGCUAAGUUGCUCAGGCUGGCCUCAAACUUGAGAUCCUCCUGCCUCAGCCUCCCAGAGUGCUGGGAAGACAGAUGUGUGCCACCACGCCCGGCUGGAAGGCUGCUUGUGACAGGUGCAGACCCAGGUGGGAAGACCUUUGGGCCACAGCUUUGCACCAGUCUGUGGGCUCCCGGUGGCUGGGCUGUGGCCCUGGUGACCUGGAGUCUGUCUGAGAGGCGUGGCUGGGGGAACCUCAGCCCUCAAGAGGGGCUGUGGCUUUGAGGCUGGAGACCUGGGUCUCCCCGGCCCCAUCGCCUCCCAGAACAGGAAAGGCCUGAGCACUGGAGAGGAGCUUUCUCCAUGCUCUGCUUCUGGAAAGUUCUGUCAGAAAGGGAGGUGUUUGAGGAGUUGCUGGGCAGGGGAGGGGUCUGAGACCAGGCUCCCAGCCAGGUCCUGGGAAGGCGGCCUUUGGGAGGAGUCAGUCCCGGGCUCCCUGCAGGCCUGCCCACGACCUCAGGGAGGUUCAGCCCUGCCUGCCUCAGUUUCCCUGUUCACACUUCUCAGAGAAGCCAAGGAGUCUGGCAUGAACAACCCAGGAGAACCCUGGCUCUUCCCAAACCCCCUCUGUGCCCAGGAUGAUACCCCCCCACCUGCAGGCCCGGGCUGGGCCCGUUUCUUGUGCGCCCGCCCUGCUGCCCUGCCUGCCACCCGCUUCAGAGCUGCCUCCGUGCAAACUGCAAAGCAGGGCCCAGGUGAGACACUGGUGACCGUAUCUUUGAGACCCGGAGCAGACCUGGAGGAGCUGCCCCAGGCUAAGUCCCCUCUGGAGAUGGGUUUGCUGUGGCCCUCGAAGUAUUUUUAAGAACUGAGUCAGGGGCUGAUAUUUCAAACAUGAGGCUGUUCUACCUAAAACCCAUUUCUCUGGAUCCUCUUGGCACACAGGAAGAUCUGGCCCACCGCAGGGAGCUGGAAAGGGGUCCCAGAUCAGAGCAGCCUGUAGCAGUCACUCUCCUGCUUACCAGUCCUUGCUUGGUUCAUUUUCUUCAUACAAGUUGCCUGCCAGGGUCUUGAAGUAUGAAUAGGAGUUUGCCAGCUAAAAAGGAAUAAAAAGGAAUUCCAGGAAAGAGGAAUAGCGCGCAUCAGGGAGACUCAUCUAUUCAAUAUUCACUCUACAAGUCACCGAUCAGUGCUGACUGUAUGCACUGGGCAGAGAGCGGGAAGCCAGGUGGAUCCACGUCCUGGCCGCAGCCUAGGGGUUCUCAGUCAGGAGCAGUUUUUAGUUGCUCUAGAGACACCUGGCUCUGGGUGGGGGUACCGAGCUCACUGGACAGUGCUCAGGGCGCCCAGGCAGGAUCCAAGGCCGAGACCCCGCAGCAGGAGCCUGACACCAACUGGACAGGCCAGGCAGUACAGACUUCGCACCCCACUCAGCUCCCAGGGCUGGGCCAGAGGGGACCACAGCUGCCUGCACAGGGGCCACCCGAGACGGCAGACGAAGAAGCCAGACAGCACGGUCUCCGAGGGGUUGGCCCAGGGUCUCCAACCUCUCUUGCGAGGGUCCUGGAGCUCCUUGGAAAUGACAAUGGCCUCUGACUGUCUUCUGUUAUUCAAUCAACAAAUAUUUCUUCAGAAAGGACCUCUCCAGGGUCAGCUGCCACAAGUCGUGUGGCACAUGGUGGGUGCAAGGACGGUAUGGGCAGAGAAAGAAUGGAAGGGGUAAAGGAGGAAACAAGCCUAGCAGGUGAGUGCCAUCACCGAGCGCCAGCUGUGUGCUGGGCCCCUCCCGUGUAUGAGCGUUCUACAGAUCCAGAGGCGGGCCAGUGACCACCCCAGUCCAAAGCCAGCAGGCCCAGUGCCUGCCGGGUUCCGGCUGUGCCCACUGCUUUGGUGCUGUGUGUGCUCUGACCCGGGCCAUUGUGCCGCCCCCUGGCAGGCAGCUGCCGUCACUUUGCGACAGGACGACAAGGAGACCAAGGCUCAGACAGGGAACGCCACUUCACCAAACUCACACAGCGCCAGCCUUUCCGAACAGCAGUCCUGUCCCCUGGAGCCCUGACUGCGGCCCCUGGAGUGCUACCAGUCCCGGAGUGGGGCAGGGAAGGUGGCUAGGGAGCUGCGCCCCCGAGAUCUGCAGGGGGAGCUGGGGUCCUGGGUGGGCAGACGGGUAGGCAGCUUCCGCCCCGUGGGCUGCACCCCCGCCAGCGCAGCCCGUCCAGAGGUGCCCCACGGGCUGACAACAGCCCUUUGUGUGGAUGCCCGGGGGAGGGUGAGGCAGGUGGCACCGUGCUCCACCAUCCUGGCUAAGCAAGCGCAGCUCAGGCUCCCGAGGGUGUGUGUGUGUGUGUGUGUGGGGGGGGCGCGUGCAUGCCAGCGUGCGUGCGUGCGUGCGUGCGUGCAUGCGUGCGCAUGCGCUCUGGUCCAUGCUGGCUCACACCAUGGCUUCCAGCUCUCGUGCCCACGCAUGCGCACUUCCGUGGCUGCGAGUCCGAGCUGGGCUGCAGCUUGGCGUCCACCCCUCAUCGCCAGCUCUAACCGCCUGCGGUGUCCGCCUGGGAGCUGCUGGUCACCUGCACCAUGGGCCUCGCCUGUGCCCGGUCGCGGCUGAGAUGCUGCCACAGCGGGCGCGCUGGGCUGGCAGGGUUUCGUGGCCAGGCCUCAGCUGCAGGUCCUGGUGGGGCCUGUGCUGAAGACAGGGAUCUUGGAGUCCAGACAGCAACCAAGACUCUGAGGCUGAGGACUUGGGUUCGAAUUCUGCCUCUGCCGCUGAACAGCUGUGUGGCCUUGGGGAAUCGCUUCGGCUCUCUGAGCCCAUUUCCUCAUUCGCUGCCAAGUGGGAUUGAGGUCGCGUGUUCCCCAGGGCUGCAGCACCAGCCAGCCUCGUAACAGCAGCAUCCGGCAUCCGUUGCAUGACACAUCACUGAGUGUGUCCUCACUGCGGUCCUGGUGCCUGGGCACGAAAGUAGGACCUUGGAGAGUUGUGUUGGGGACAGCAUCCUGCAGGUGGGGGUCAUGCAGUGUGUCCUCAGCGACUCGGGCUUAAAAGGCGCCAGGCUCCCGGUGGAUAUGGGAUCCCCUCCCUUCCUGCAGUUCUGCCCAGCUUCCUGGUCUGCUCAGCCAUCAGGCCUGGACCCCAGCCUCCAGCAUCAGCCUCGGGGGCUCAUGCAGGAGCUCUUGGGAGGGACUGGUGACUCAGUUUCCCUGCCUUCCUGCAAUGGACCCACAGGCUUCCCUGCUAUUUCUGGAUAUUCCUUGAUACUGGGGCCUGGCACCCCACUUCAGGGACAGCAAAUGACCUCCUGGGUGGAACAAGACCCUUGGCAUCCCUGACAGAACGUCUCGCAGGAAUCCCCAGGUCUCUGUGCAGAUCAGAGCUGUUCACUGGGUGUGGGUGUGGGUGUGGGUGUGUGGGUCCUGGCGAUUGCACCCAGGGCCUUCACAGCCAGCUGUACCCCUGCCCCUUUUUAUUUCACUGUGAGCUGAGGUCCUACUAAGCCUCUAAAUUGCUUGGGCUGGGCUUGAGCCUGUGGUUCUCCUGCCUCAGCCUCCCAGGCUGCUGACAUUAUAGGUGCGCACCGGCACUCCUGACUGAAGCCCACAUCCAUGUCCUGUUUGUCCUCGGAUGAACACAUGGGCCGUCUCUGCCCCUUGGCUGGUAUCAGUAGAGCGGCUGUGGACCUGAAGUGGCCAAUGUGUCCCGAGACUCUGGAUAAAUAUCCCUGGGGAGACUGCUGGGCCAUUGUGCUCAGUGACAUAGCAAGUCACAGAAGGACAAUGCUAUGAUUCCAGUAGGGGGAAUGCGGGCUGUUGGCUGCCAGGACCUGGGGAGAGGAGGCCAUAGGGAGCUGCUAUUUCAUGGGUAUGAAGUUUCAGUCAUGGAGGUUGAUUACAUUCUAGGAGUCUGCUGUGCAACUUCAUGCCUGUAGUUAACCACACUACAAGACACUUCUUAGAUUAAAAAUAUAUAUAUUGGCUUUUAUCAUUCUGGUGUUAUUGGGGAGGGGUUGUGAAGUCUGGAGCAGUAACAGCCACAGUGAGUCAAUGAGGAGAACCAGCCAGGGAAUAAAGCCCAAGCCCAGACCUGGGUCCUCACGGGCGCCUCUGAGCGGUGCCAUUAACCAGUCCCUGAGAUAACAAGAUUCUUUAUUUAAAGCCGUUUUAGGCUGAGUGUGGAGAGCACUGGAUCACGCUGGCAAGCCUGUAGCUAAGAUGUUGCUCCUAAAUUGCCCUUGCUGUCCCACAGCCGCCUCUCGGUCACACACAGGACCCUCACCCCGCUGCCAGGAAGGCUGGAGGCCCGUGUCCUGGUCACAUCCUGGGUGCCCACCGGACUGGAGGCCUCGGCUGUGAGACCUGCUGGAAACCAAGGCUGACACCCAAGCAAGAAAAGACGCCACCAGGAGAAGCUUGUGCCCUGCGACUCCGCUGUGGGGGGCCUCGGGUUCCUCCUCCAGGCAAACUGGCGCCGCUGCCGCACCUCCCACAGAGCACCGGGCCUGGGGACCCUCCAGCGUGAGGCCCACACCACCCCCAGCGUCCCUGGGCUCGCAGGUACCCGAAGGCCCUGCGGUCCCCACACAGGUUGAGCAACGCCGCCGUGGACGUUUCCAGCUCGCGCUGACCGUGAUUCACCUACUUCCCCUCACGUUUGUUGGGCUGCGGGUGACUUGUCAUCUUUUAGGGGACAUCAUGACCUUUCUGGCGACCUC